RNAcentral lists this unclassified non-coding RNA (1033 nucleotides) under Hevea brasiliensis (rubber tree). The record is from RNAcentral. Lineage: Eukaryota; Viridiplantae; Streptophyta; Magnoliopsida; Malpighiales; Euphorbiaceae.
UUUUCUUUUUCUUUUUCUUUUUCCAUCAAUUGCAGUAGUGUUAGUUUGCCUUUGCAACUUAAAUCUUGUCGAUCAAGAUCGGAUUGCUCUUCUGUGUCUUCACCCCUGCAUAAUUUAUCCUCUCUCCAGCUGCAACUUGACACUUCACUGCUGAAAUCUGCUUCCUUCUUUCCCUUUUUCCCUUUCUUUACAGAAAGCAAUUUCUUAGGCACCAAUUUCUUGAUGAAUUUUCUUCUGAUUUUACAACUCUGGCUAUGCUCUUUUCCACAAAUCAAAGCUCCCCCUUCAUCGUUCUUUGCCUCCAGAGCUUCAUCCACGUUAUCCCAGCUCUUAUCAUAAUUCAAUAAAUCAUAAAUUGUUGGAUUUUCUAUUCUCCCAUUUGCUUCAUCUCGUCCAACCAUAUUAGGCGUUGGCUCCACUACAUGAAUUUCCUUGACGGGAGGGUUGGGUUCAAGGUUCUCAGCCAAAUCACAAUAAUCAUACGCACUAUCAUCUUUCUCUGCAUUGAUCGAUGCUUUCUUGGAAACCCAUAAAUCCUUCUUAAGUCGAAAUAAAGAAACAACCCUUCGAUUUAAAAGUAGCAAGACCAAUAAGCAUGUUUUCAACAAACACAAAAGAUGUUUCCCAUAAUAUUCAAGAAAGAUGAGAAGAGAAGUGGACAUUGUUAUCCCAAUAGCAAGUCUUGUCGUGCUCAAAGCCAAGAUCACCACAACAAACAUCUUUAAAACUAAAAAUAAGAAGCGUUUAUCUUUUCCAUUCGAGCCAAGAUUACCAUCGUCAACAUCACCACACUCCUUAACACCCUGAUUAUAAUCAAGAUUUCGAUCUUCACCCACCAAAACUUCACAUCUAUUGACAUUUUUACCCUGACCCUCCAAAUUCUCCGGGCUUUGACGCUUUUUAUUGAUAUUAACAGGCUCCACCGACAACUCUCUAGUGUUCGCCAAGGGUAUGGUAUCGGAGAUGACAAGCUCCUCAACCUCGCGCAGCUGAUUAUGCUGCUGCUGACGUUGCUGUUGCUGUUGCUGUUGCU